CACAGCGUGACUCGUCUGCGUCAUUUCACAGAUCAUCAUGUAUUAAUUACACACAUGCUUUUCACACAGCAUGAUGUGAUCUCCCUUGAUGGAUUUGAGGGAGCCCAGGACCAUAAAUAGCCCACUCCAGUCAAAGGUAGUUUGAGGUCAACAGCUCAGAACAGGCAUAUGACACGCUGGAUCACAGCGCAAUGAGCUCCUGCUUCCAAGAGCACGGAUGGAGAAACAAAAUAAGAAUCUGCAACAGCAUUCUGGGACACACCAAGGAGCGCUUCUCCUUCACCGACCAUCUCGUCUGUGCAACCUUGUUGCAGGGGGACAGGUUUGAAGAACAUCACGGGUCAUUUCCUGAAGAGGCACUGCAACGCACUUUGAAGGCCUACCCGAUGCUGAAUGGAAGCAAGCUGAAGACAGAACUCGGUCUCAUCUACAGCAAAGUAGAGUUCAGAGCCUGCUGUGGUGCACUGGACCUAUUCUAGCUGUUCAUGGAGAACAAUCUUGAAGUUGUCUUUUCAGAAACUGUCAAUCUUUGAAGGAUCCUGAUCACCACACCCAUGACCACAGCUGAAGCAGAGAGGUGUUUCUCAACCUUGAAAAGAGUGAAAACUUUUCUCAGAAACACCAUGACCCAGGAAAGGCUGAAUGCCUUGGCCAUGCUCUCCAUGGAAAAGAGACUUGUUUGUGAAAUGACAGAUUUCAAUCAGAAAGUCAUUGAUAAAUUUGCUGGCCUGAAGGAGAGGAGAGCAAAAUUUAUGUUCAAGUAAUUGUUUUGUUGUGUUGUAAUGCCCGUCUGCUAGUGCACCCCCCCAAAAUAUUUUAUCACCAGCUGCCACUGCUCAUAACAUAACAUUAAUUCUUUAAGGUUUUAUCUGGUAACAUGAUUGGACAGUGAUGUGAAUCUGGAAGCUUUAAAUAAUAAGGUUUUGAUUUGAGAUGAAUAGCGUUUGAUUAAUACUUAAAUCACAUACACCCUACUUUCUUGACUCCUUCAGGUAUCAGGUAUUUUCAAGUUGUAAAAGGCUCAAGACUGAAUGACAUCAAAAGCCAUUGAUUUUCAGGUCCAAAUCAAAGUGUCAGUGUUUUUUGAUCGUUGAAUUGAGUUUGAUUCACGUUAUCAAUUUUGUGAACGGAUUCUGACUUGAGCUCAAGUCAUGCAGACAUUUGUAAUGACUGAUCACCAUUAAAACAAGAAAAGCACUCAAA
Long non-coding RNA from Acanthochromis polyacanthus (spiny chromis), 1203 nucleotides. RefSeq lists it as uncharacterized. NCBI's taxonomy places the organism in Eukaryota, Metazoa, Chordata, Actinopteri, Pomacentridae. The record is from RefSeq and is a predicted model, not a curated record. The transcript is spliced from 2 exons.